This is a long non-coding RNA of Oncorhynchus tshawytscha (Chinook salmon), 1254 nucleotides long. The record is from Ensembl. NCBI's taxonomy places the organism in Eukaryota, Metazoa, Chordata, Actinopteri, Salmoniformes, Salmonidae.
UAUAGAAAAUAUACAUAUUUAAUGUCAAAUCAUGAGUAAGUACAGUAUUAUUAUAUUGACCGAAAAGGCUUAGCGAAACACAACCAGAGUAGAUGUACAGACACUAUAUAGAAUUCAUAUUUACAUUGGGUUUACAAAGACAUACAGACACUAUAUAGAAUUCAUAUUUACAUUGGGUUUACAAAGACACACAGACACUAUAUAGAAUUCAUAUUUACAUUGGGUUUACAAAGACAUACAGACACUAUAUAGAAUUCAUAUUUACAUUAGGUUUACAAAGACAUACAGACACUAUAUAGAAUUCAUAUUUACAUUGGGUUUACAAAGACACACAGACUGUGUAUUUAAUACACGCUCGCGCCAACUAUACAGUAAAGUAUUCACAUAACGUGUAUCUUUCUACAAGAGACCAUAGGAGGAGUAGAAAAUUAACGUUCUGUUUUUAAGGAAAAUCUACAUUGCGUCGCAGUCAAUGACAGUAUAUAUCAGAACUGGGUGACAUAUAUAUAUGCCAAAGACUUUGGAGGUGCGCUUGACUUAGCUUGACUUAGCUUGACUUAACUUGACUUAGCUUGAGUUAGCUUGACUUAACUUGACUUAGCUUGACUUAGCUUGAGUUAGCUUGACUUAGCCUGACUUAGCUUGAGUUAGCUUGAGUUAGCUUGACUUAGUUUGACUUAGCUUGACUUAGUUUGACUUAGCUUGACUUAGCUUGACUUAGCUUGACUUAGUUUGACUUAAUUUGACUUAGUUUGACUUAACUUGAGUUAGCUUGACUUAGUUUGACUUAGCUUGACUUAGCUUGAGUUAGCUUGACUUAGCUUGACUUAGCUUGACUUAGUUUGACUUAGUUUGACUUAACUUGACUUAGCUUGACUUAGCUUGACUUAGCUUGACUUAGCUUGACUUAGCUUGACUUAGCUUGACUUAGCUUGACUUAGCUUGACUUAACUUGACUUAGCUUGCCCUGUACAAUGCAACCAAUGGAAUAGUCUCAUAAACUGCCAACUCCACCCACAGCCUGCACACUGUUUUGACACAUGUAUUUGACCCAGGUCUGACGUGUAAGUGGGGCGGGGCUAGAGGUCCAAGAGCUGAGACUUACAGGCUGGCUGUGGAAAGCGGCAGUACAUUAUGAAGAACAACCUUUUGACCUGGCUGUCGACAUGACUGUUGUGUGGGCCAAGACCGGGUUGACUGGAGAGCCUGGGAGAGGGCAAGAGUCUGCAAACAUCUACAAGGUCAAAGGUCAGA